GACGAACGCUGGCGGCGUGCUUAACACAUGCAAGUCGAGCGGAAAGGCCCUGCUUUUGUGGGGUGCUCGAGUGGCGAACGGGUGAGUAACACGUGAGUAACCUGCCCUUGACUUUGGGAUAACUUCAGGAAACUGGGGCUAAUACCGGAUAGGAGCUCCUGCUGCAUGGUGGGGGUUGGAAAGUUUCGGCGGUUGGGGAUGGACUCGCGGCUUAUCAGCUUGUUGGUGGGGUAGUGUCUUACCAAGGCUUUGACGGGUAGCCGGCCUGAGAGGGUGACCGGCCACAUUGGGACUGAGAUACGGCCCAGAGUACUACGGGGGGCAGCAGUGGGGAAUAUUGCACAAUGGGCGGAAGCAUGAUGCAGCAACGCCGCGUGCGGGAUGACGGCCUUCGAGUUGUAAACCGCUUUCGCCUGUGACGAAGCGUGAAUGACGGUAAUGGGUAAAGAAGCACCGGCUAACUACGUG
RNAcentral lists this ribosomal RNA (468 nucleotides) under uncultured bacterium. RNAcentral describes it as "partial 16S ribosomal RNA". It matches the Rfam family "Bacterial small subunit ribosomal RNA", at positions 28 to 507 of the family's 1533-position model. The record is from RNAcentral.